Molecule: ribosomal RNA, 551 nt
Filed under: uncultured bacterium
Lineage: Bacteria
Description: bacterial SSU rRNA
Rfam family: Bacterial small subunit ribosomal RNA
Source: RNAcentral
GCAGCAGUGGGGAAUAUUGGACAAUGGACCGAGAGUCUGAUCCAGCAAUUCUGUGUGCACGAUGACGUUUUUCGGAAUGUAAAGUGCUUUCAGUUGGGAAGAAAAAAAUGACGGUACCAACAGAAGAAGUGACGGCUAAAUACGUGCCAGCAGCCGCGGUAAUACGUAUGUCACGAGCGUUAUCCGGAUUUAUUGGGCGUAAAGCGCGUCUAGGUGGUUAUGUAAGUCUGAUGUGAAAAUGCAGGGCUCAACUCUGUAUUGCGUUGGAAACUGUGUAACUAGAGUACUGGAGAGGUAAGCGGAACUACAAGUGUAGAGGUGAAAUUCGUAGAUAUUUGUAGGAAUGCCGAUGGGGAAGCCAGCUUACUGGACAGAUACUGACGCUGAAGCGCGAAAGCGUGGGUAGCAAACAGGAUUAGAUACCCUGGUAGUCCACGCCGUAAACGAUGAUUACUAGGUGUUGGGGGUCGAACCUCAGCGCCCAAGCAAACGCGAUAAGUAAUCCGCCUGGGGAGUACGUACGCAAGUAUGAAACUCAAAUGAAUUGACGG